AUUGAACGCUGGCGGCAGGCCUAACACAUGCAAGUCGAACGAGUGGCGGACGGGUGAGGAAUGUCGGGGAAACUGCCCGAUGGAGGGGGAUAACUACUGGAAACGGUAGCUAAUACAGCAUACCAUCGGAUGUGCCCAGAUGGGAUUAGAUAGUAGGUGGGGUAACGGCUCACCUGGGCGACGAUCCCUAGCUGGUCUGGUAGGAUGACCUGCCACACUGGAACGGAGACACGGUCCGGACUCCUACGGUAGGCAGCAGUGGGGAAUAUUGCACAAUGGGCUCAAGCCUGAUGCAGCCAUGCCGCGUGUAUGAAGAAGGCCUUCGGGUUGUAAAGUACUUUCAGCGAGGAGGCGUUACUCGCAGAAGAAGCACCGGCUAACUCCGUGCCAGCAGCCGCGGUAAUUC
This 406-nucleotide ribosomal RNA is filed under the name uncultured bacterium. Its description in RNAcentral is "partial 16S ribosomal RNA". It matches the Rfam family "Bacterial small subunit ribosomal RNA", at positions 30 to 526 of the family's 1533-position model. The record is from RNAcentral.